AGUGAACGCUGGCGGCGUGCCUAAUACAUGCAAGUCGAACGGAGUGGCGCACGGGUGAGUAAUAUAUAGCUAACCUGCCCCUUGCUGGAGGACAACAGUUAGAAAUGACUGCUAAUACUCCAUAGCAAGGGAUGGGACUCUAUCGUAUCAGCUAGUCGGUGGGGUAACGGCCUACCGAGGCGAUGACGCGUAACUGGUCUGAGAGGAUGAUCAGUCACAUUGGAACGGAGGCACCGUCCAAACUCCUACGGGAGGCAGCAGUAGGGAAUAUUGCGCAAUGGGGGAAACCCUGACAGAGCAACGGGGCGUGGAGGAUGACACGUUGCGGAGCGUAAGCUCCUUUUGUUAGGGAAGCGGUACCUAACGAAUAAGCACCGGCUAACUCCGUGCCAGCAGCCGCGGUAAUAC
This 408-nucleotide ribosomal RNA is filed under the name uncultured bacterium. Its description in RNAcentral is "partial 16S ribosomal RNA". It matches the Rfam family "Bacterial small subunit ribosomal RNA", at positions 29 to 526 of the family's 1533-position model. The record is from RNAcentral.